RNAcentral lists this ribosomal RNA (553 nucleotides) under uncultured bacterium. RNAcentral's name for it is "bacterial SSU rRNA". It matches the Rfam family "Bacterial small subunit ribosomal RNA", at positions 64 to 605 of the family's 1533-position model. The record is from RNAcentral.
GAGGGGCAGCAUGAUGAAAGUUUACUUUCAUUGAUGGCGACCGGCGCACGGGUGAGUAACGCGUAUGCAACCUACCUUAUACAGGGGGGAUAGCCCAUGGAAACGUGGAUUAACACCGCAUAACACUUAUUUAAGGCAUCUUAGAUAAGUUAAAUAUUUAUAGGUAUAAGAUGGGCAUGCGUCCUAUUAGUUAGUUGGUGAGGUAACGGCUCACCAAGACGAUGAUAGGUAGGGGUUCUGAGAGGAAGGUCCCCCACACUGGUACUGAGACACGGACCAGACUCCUACGGGAGGCAGCAGUGAGGAAUAUUGGUCAAUGGACGCAAGUCUGAACCAGCCAAGUCGCGUGAAGGAAGACGGUUCUAUGGAUUGUAAACUUCUUUUAUUUGGGAAGAAUAAGUGGUACGUGUACCACGAUGCCUGUACCAAAUGAAUAAGCAUCGGCUAACUCCGUGCCAGCAGCCGCGGUAAUACGGAGGAUGCGAGCGUUAUCCGGAUUUAUUGGGUUUAAAGGGUGCGUAGGUGGUUUGUUUAGUUAGUGGUUAAAUGUCUG